AUUGAACGCUGGCGGCAUGCCUUACACAUGCAAGUCGAACGGCAGCACGGGAGCAAUCCUGGUGGCGAGUGGCGAACGGGUGAGUAAUAUAUCGGAACGUGCCCAGUCGUGGGGAUAACGUAGCGAAAGCUACGCUAAUACCGCAUACGAUCUACGGAUGAAAGCGGGGGAUCGCAAGACCUCGCGCGAUUGGAGCGGCCGAUAUCAGGAUUAGGUAGUUGGUGAGGUAAAGGCUCACCAAGCCAACGAUCUGUAGCUGGUCUGAGAGGACGACCAGCCACACUGGAACUGAGACAC
Molecule: ribosomal RNA, 297 nt
Filed under: uncultured bacterium
Lineage: Bacteria
Description: partial 16S ribosomal RNA
Rfam family: Bacterial small subunit ribosomal RNA
Source: RNAcentral